Oncorhynchus tshawytscha (Chinook salmon) is the source of this 1470-nucleotide non-coding RNA. The record is from the annotation of a RefSeq genome assembly. Lineage: Eukaryota; Metazoa; Chordata; Actinopteri; Salmoniformes; Salmonidae.
AUAUAUGGUUAAAAAAGCUUUGAGACAGUCAUUCUUCUGAUGUGUCAAGAUGCGUGCCUGCCUUUUUCUGUUGUGGAGUACUCUCUCAGCUACUUGGACAAACCAAAUAAUUGUGACCCAGACACCUGGUGUGGUGAAGAUGAUAGCCAGUGGCACGGUGACUUUGAAGUGCCACGUUGAUCAGAUUCUCGCCUUUUGCCACUCAGUGACUUGGAUGAAAGUAGACGCCAGGACUGGAACAAUGAGCACAAGAACUAACGUAAAGAUUAAUACGACAUCUGAGGUAGGGAAACGGGACAGAGUAUGUUCGGCAACCAUCACCAACGCAUUAGUGAGCGACUCUGGCAUGUACUACUGUUUGGCUGUUCACUCCAAGGCGGUCCACACUGGCAACGGAUCCAAUCUAAUCGUCACAGAGAGCAGCACUGAAUCCCCAAACAUCAAAAUCGUCUCAUCAGACAGCGACGGCUCCUCCGCCGCUCUGCUGUGUUUGGUGUCUGGAGUGGUCCCGUCUCAAGUCCAUGUGUUCUGGCUCAUAGACGGGAGAGAGGACAGUGGACUUACUGAGUCCACCUGGACAGACAACAGUGAUUCAGCCACAGAGUUCACUAGGAACCAGAUUCUGGUCAAAGCAGAGGAGUGGGACAGAGGAGCAGAAUGCACGUGUGUGGUAGAGUUCGAAGGGCAGUACAUCAACAAAACCGUGCAACACAAUGAUUUCUCCACAAUGUGUUACACCAUAGUGAGUCUCUACAGGGUUCUGGGAAUUGUGUCCGCUCUUCUUCUUCUCCUUACACUGAUUGCACGGGUACAGCUAUCCUGCAGGAGCAACAAUUCAGGCAAGCGUAAGAAAAGCAACAGAAACCCCCCAAACUAAAGAAAAGGAGAGCUUUGGGAUUCUGUCUUCAUUGUGAAAACUUCAGGAAACCAACAUUCAGAAUUUGAGGGCUUUGAGUGAAUCAGAGGGCUUCAUACCAACUAGGAAGACGUUAAGUAUGUAGUACGUUUUCACUGGGUGUCGAAAGGCUAUAGAAUUUUUACGUGACUUCUUAUAAAAAAAAUCCUUUUCACUUUGCUUUUGAUUUCAUUACAUGAAAAUUGUCAGAUAAGCAAUAUGCAUAAAAAAUAAAAUGUGUUGGAAUAGCCCAAUUCUUCCAUAAAGUGAUAUCCUGAAAGUACUGUAGUGAUGAAAUGUUUUUUUUCCCUCAUCUUGUGUCACCAUCUCAAAACAUCCAGUAGAUAUCAGUGUUUACUCAAAAUCUACAACCUACCCUUCCUGUCACUUGUGCGUCCAUUGUAGUGACACUGAUUGAAUGAAGAAUAGCGCCGAAGGAGAUGGCUGCCAUUUUAUAAUCCCAUAACCAAUUGUGCUAUUGUGUAUACUUUUUUGAGCUAUUUGUAACUUUUUAAAAAGUAAGCAUUUCACUGUCAGGUAUUCGGCACAUGUGACAAAUUAAAUUUGAUUUGAGA